GAAGGCCUACGGGACGCAGCAGUAGGGAAUUUUCGUCAAUGGGCGCAAGCCUGAACGAGCGAUGCCGCGUGAGUGAAGAAGGCCUUCGGGUCGUAAAGCUCUGUUGCGGGGGAAAAAAGGCAGCAUCAGGAAAUGGGGGCGGACUGAUGGGGCCCCGCCAGAAAGUCACGGCUAACUACGUGCCAGCAGCCGCGGUAAUACGUAGGGGGCGAGCGUUAUCCGGAAUGAUUGGGCGUAAAGGGUGCGCAGGCGGUCCUGC
Molecule: ribosomal RNA, 259 nt
Filed under: uncultured bacterium
Lineage: Bacteria
Description: partial 16S ribosomal RNA
Rfam family: Bacterial small subunit ribosomal RNA
Source: RNAcentral